AUUGAACGCUGGCGGCAUGCCUUACACAUGCAAGUCGAACGGUAACAGGUCUUCGGAUGCUGACGAGUGGCGAACGGGUGAGUAAUGCAUCGGAACGUGCCCAGUAGUGGGGGAUAGCCCGGCGAAAGCCGGAUUAAUACCGCAUACGACCUGAGGGUGAAAGGGGGGGAUCGCAAGACCUCUCGCUAUGGGAGCGGCCGAUGUCAGAUUAGCUAGUUGGUGGGGUAAAGGCCGACCAAGGCAACGAUCUGUAGUUGGUCUGAGAUGAAGACCAGCCACACUGGGACUGAGACACGGCCCAGGCUCCUACGGGAGGCAGCAGUGGGGAAUUUUGGACAAUGGGCGCAAGCCUGAUCCAGCAAUGCCGCGUGCAGGAAGAAGGCCUUCGGGUUGUAAACUGCUUUUGUCAGGGAAGAAAUCUUCUGGGUUAAUACCUCGGGAGGAUGACGGUACCUGAAGAAUAAGCACCGGCUAAAUACGUGCCAGCCGCCGCUGUAA
This 498-nucleotide ribosomal RNA is filed under the name uncultured bacterium. Its description in RNAcentral is "partial 16S ribosomal RNA". It matches the Rfam family "Bacterial small subunit ribosomal RNA", at positions 30 to 523 of the family's 1533-position model. The record is from RNAcentral.